GAACACAUAUUGCGCUCUCUGGUAUUCCGGAGAGCAUGCUUGUUUGAGUAUCAGUAAACACCUCAACUCCCUUUCUUCUUGAAAUGGAGCUGGACUUGAGUGAUCCCAACGCUUUAUUCAUAAAGUGGCGGGUUACUUUAAAUGCAGGUGCAGCUGGACUUUUCUCUGAGCUAUAAGCAUAUCUAUUUAGUCUGCCUCAAAACAGAUUAUUACCUUUGCUGCAGCUAACAUAAAGGAGAUUAGUUCUUGUGCUGACUGAUGCAGGAUUCACAAAGACCGCUUCGGCUGUCUUUGUAAACUCGAUCUCAAAUCAAGUAAGACUACCCGCUGAACUUAAG
Molecule: unclassified non-coding RNA, 338 nt
Filed under: Mortierella antarctica
Lineage: Eukaryota; Fungi; Mortierellomycota; Mortierellomycetes; Mortierellales; Mortierellaceae
Description: sequence contains 5.8S rRNA gene
Source: RNAcentral